AUUGAACGCUGGCGGCAUGCCUUACACAUGCAAGUCGAACGGUAACAGGUCUUCGGAUGCUGACGAGUGGCGAACGGGUGAGUAAUACAUCGGAACGUGCCCGAUCGUGGGGGAUAACGAGGCGAAAGCUUUGCUAAUACCGCAUACGAUCUACGGAUGAAAGCGGGGGAUCUUCGGACCUCGCGCGGACGGAGCGGCCGAUGGCAGAUUAGGUAGUUGGUGGGAUAAAAGCUUACCAAGCCGACGAUCUGUAGCUGGUCUGAGAGGAUGAUCAGCCACACUGGGACUGAGACACGGCCCAGACUCCUACGGGAGGCAGCAGUGGGGGAUUUUGGACAAUGGGCGAAAGCCUGAUCCAGCCAUGCCGCGUGCAGGAUGAAGGCCUUCGGGUUGUAAACUGCUUUUGUACGGAAACGAAAAAGCCU
Molecule: ribosomal RNA, 425 nt
Filed under: Diaphorobacter nitroreducens
Lineage: Bacteria; Pseudomonadati; Pseudomonadota; Betaproteobacteria; Burkholderiales; Comamonadaceae
Description: bacterial SSU rRNA
Rfam family: Bacterial small subunit ribosomal RNA
Source: RNAcentral